RNAcentral lists this ribosomal RNA (253 nucleotides) under uncultured bacterium. RNAcentral describes it as "partial 16S ribosomal RNA". It matches the Rfam family "Bacterial small subunit ribosomal RNA", at positions 524 to 776 of the family's 1533-position model. The record is from RNAcentral.
UACGUAGGGGGCUAGCGUUGUCCGGAAUCAUUGGGCGUAAGGCGCACGUAGGCGGCCCGGUAAGUCCGCUGUGAAAGUCCAGGGCUCAACCCUGGAAUGCCGGUGGAUACUGUCGGGCUAGAGUCCGGAAGAGGCGAGUGGAAUUCCUGGUGUAGCGGUGGAAUGCGCAGAUAUCAGGAGGAACACCAAUAGCGAAGGCAGCUCGCUGGGACGGUACUGACGCUGAGGUGCGAAAGCGUGGGGAGCGAACAGG